GGCCUGCUGGGGGGAGAUGAAGUGGACGUGACCGUCGAUUCCGGCGGCGGUCAGAAUCAGGUGCUCGCCGGAAAUCGCGUCGGUCGAUGGGCCGGUGCAGAGGGUGGGUGUCACGCCCUGCAUCGUGUUGGGGUUACCGGCUUUGCCGAUACCGGCGAUUUUGCCGCCCUUGACCCCGACAUCGGCCUUGAUUACGCCUAACAGCGGGUCGAGGAUGGUCACGUUGGUGAUUACGAGGUCGAGCGAACCGGCGUCGGAGGUGAUGGUGUUGGCCGUACCCAUGCCGUCGCG
RNAcentral lists this small RNA (291 nucleotides) under human gut metagenome. RNAcentral describes it as "5' ureB small RNA". It matches the Rfam family "5' ureB small RNA". The record is from RNAcentral.